This is a long non-coding RNA of Cyprinus carpio carpio, 1845 nucleotides long. The record is from Ensembl. NCBI's taxonomy places the organism in Eukaryota, Metazoa, Chordata, Actinopteri, Cypriniformes, Cyprinidae.
CAUGUGUACAAUUCAACAUACCAGAAAGCAGGCAGCCAGACAUUAAGGUGUAUGACCAGUCAGACAGAAGUUAACACAGAGGUUUUUGAAGAAAUAGUGAAGGAGUCACCUGGAACUCUGAGAAUCAUGCUGGGCAAUGGAGGACUUGGUAUUCAUUCAGACAAUUCACAAAUUACUUUGUUUAGUUUAAAGGCCGGAAUGAGAACAUUUAUUGUCUUAAAAUACCGGUAACAUUAAGCAUUUAGCUGGGCUGUAAAUAAACAUUGUUGUUAUUUUACAAAUAUUAUGUAAAUUGUGUUGUGCAAUGUCAUUUGAGUGUGAUGUUAACUUUGAAUUCAUAUGCUAGGACACCCCCCCCCCCCCAAAAGUGUCAGAGUGAUGUAUGCACAGGGGAUAGUAGCUUUGUUUCCCAUACUCACAACAUGGAUAUGAGCAUUACUAUGAUCCAGAGAGUGGUUCAGGAUACCUUGCAUGGCGAUUGAAGACUAUACAAAGAAAAACAGCAGAGGAAAGAGUUGGUGGGCCAGGUCGUGUUUGUCAGCCCUUCACCUUUGACAGAGAUCCAUCUGAUGAGGAUGUGGAAGCAGCUAUUUUGAGACACUCUGCUGAUGAAAAGACUGUCUGUGAGAAGAUGAAAAUGACCUUCAUAUAUCGGCAAGCAAUGGUCAACGGUGAAGCCAAAUCAUCAGAUGUCUUGGUCUUCCCACGAUUUCUGGACACACCAGGACUGAUAGAACAAGAUUUCAGAUUUCUGUUUGGUGAGGCCACGGCCAACAAAUUCUUUGAGAAGUGGCCAACCACUUUUAAAGCAAAAGUAAUAAAGGAAAGCGAUGGACUUGUACCCACAACAGAACUCUUGGAUUUGAUGCACAAUGCUGAGUCAGCUGCUGAAGUUGAGAAUCGUAUGAAUGGCUGGGACAGUGACAUGUCUGCCAUCUUGCUGCUGCUACCACCAUCUGCACAAGGUUGGAACCAGUGUGCAGCAACAUCUAGACAACAUCACCCAAAGCAGUCAGCCCUACCUUCUCGCCCAGGGAUCCACACAGAGCACCAUUCACUCCUACUUUAUUGUGGUUGACAAGCAUGCACUUCCAUGCAAGGCAACAGGUUCAGUUGGAGCUUUUGACGAACACUUUAAAGCCCAUUACGUCUUUGGUACGUCAUACAGUUCUUCCCUGAGCAGCUUUUUCACUUUUGUGCAAACAACCAUCUAUAACAUCGACAUGGGGGAAACAAAGGAGACUCCUAGAGUUGCAGAGUUGUGGGCAAGAAUGGUGCGUUAGUUGAGAUAAAACUAUGAAGUGUUUUCUUUGCAAAAGUUACCGUGGAAGUAAUUCAUGGGCUAUGUACAGGCAGGACUCUUUUUCUGAAGUGUGGUCAAGAAGGAUGCUCACAUACUUUUGGUAGUUUUUCUGGUUUAAGAAAGCAUCUUAAGUGCCAUGGAAGCAGUUUACAUUUACAUUUACAUUUAAUCAUUUAGCAGACGCUUUUAUCCAAAGCGACUUACAAAUGAGAACAAUAGAAGCAAUCAGAUCAACAAGAGAACAACAACGGUAUACAAGUGCUAUGACAAGUCUCAGUUAGUCUAGUACAGAACACGCAGCCAGGGUUUUUUUUUUUUUAUGAAUAUGAUAGACAAGAAAAAGAAAAGGUAAGUACUAGUAUUAGUUGGUUAAGUGCAGGCGAAAAAGAUGAGUCUUUAGAUGUUUUUUGAAAAUGAGUAAAGAUUCACCUGUUCGAAUUGAGAUUGGGAGGUCAUUUCACCAGCUGGGCGCAGUCCAGGAAACCUCUUUUGAACCUCUUUGGGAUGGCACCACAAGGCGUCGUUCACUUGCAGAGCGCAAA